Eublepharis macularius is the source of this 2153-nucleotide long non-coding RNA. RefSeq lists it as uncharacterized. The record is from RefSeq and is a predicted model, not a curated record. NCBI's taxonomy places the organism in Eukaryota, Metazoa, Chordata, Lepidosauria, Squamata, Eublepharidae. The transcript is spliced from 3 exons.
CGAGCGCUGGCGGCGCGCUCAGUUCCGCGCAGGGGUGUAAGGCGGGAGCCGCUCUGGUUGGGAUUGCACUCUUAAUACGGAGUAGCUAUUCCGCAGCAAUGUCGAUCCCUUCUCCUCCUCAUAGGAGCUCGGUUUUGUUUGCUGUUAUUAGUUGUUCUCGAACGUUUAACGAAAUUAUUUCUGCAAAGCCAUGGAGAAGAAGUAAUACAACUAAUGCAGUGCAGAUACCUGUAGAAAGAAGAGUGCACGCUGGUUCUUUCCAGAACACUGGAUCCCUGACACCCAGCUCUGUCUCUGUUGCUGUGGAGUGAGUGAGUGAACUGCUACUGCCUUCUCGGUCUUAUGUACUGAAAGCAACACUCACAUCUGGAACUUCCCUUCUUUGUCCCUCACUUCCGAGAUCUUCUUUUGGAUUUCACUUGAGCCUGUUUGAUUGCUCUCUGUAUGACCAUCCAGCGGGCUGACCAUUUGUUCAGUGAAAGACCAUUAGAACUCCAUGAGGGAAGCUUAUACAGAUGGAAUAUGAAGAUGUUAACAAGUGAUAAAUGCCUAUGCCUUUACCUUUCCGGAACCCUUCAUUUAUACUACUGUUGCUGCUGCUGCCGCCACCGGCACCACUACUACUACUACUACUACUACUACUACUACUACUACUACUACUAUUUCUACUACUACUAGCAGCAGCAUUCAUUAUUGUAAAUUUAAGUCUUUAGAUGUUAUACAUGCUUACUUUGCAGCUCCUAUGAGGGAGCCAACAUCUAUCUUUUUUUUAAAAAAAAAACAGGCUAACAGGAAUCCUCAGAGAAAUCUCUGUGCUAUUUUGUAAAGUGUUUGCUUUGGUUUUAUUUAAUGUUUGGGAGUCUCAUUAAAAAUUGGAUGGUUGUGUGCUUGCCACUUAUAUUAAAUAUGCUGGAGUGCAUCACCAGCUAUAUAUAUUUUUUUUAACAUUUGUGACGUGGAGGCAAGGAGAAACAGCACAACAGCCAUCAUUUACGUCCUGCUCUUGUCACUUGGCGUCACAUAAAUAUCACAGUCAGGAUACUGGUUGCAUUUUUAAGGGAUCAUAAGGAUCAUAAGGGAUCAUAAGACCUUUAUGUAUUCACUGAUCGUUGGUGAACAUGGAAUCCUUUGCAAAUGCUGGGGCCCCCAUGCCAGUUGAGCAUACUUCUGUGUCACAUGGUUGUCCUUAUUCAGGAAAUUGGUCCUUGCUCAGGAAACUGAUCUUGUAACUAUCAUACAUUGAUUUUGAAAGUUCUGGCAAAAUUGAUGUGUGUUUAAAAAGCACAUGGAUGAUGUUUCAGAGGAAUAAUGGGCUUUUUGUUUUGUAUGCAAAGGAGAAUGCUGCAGUUGAUGUUUUGCAAAAAUAUGUGGUGGGCAAUGUCCCCAGUCCAUGUUCCACAGAAGUGGCUUCCUCAUAAUGGCCAGUCUUUUGAAGCACUCGGAGGAGGUUCUGUUGAUAUAAAUGGAGUGACUGCAGCACUGUCAGCCACACACAAAACAUUGCCUAUAUGAGCUAUAAUGAAUAAUGCUAUCUCAACUGAGGCGUCAGAUGGAAUGCUAUCAGCAUCUGGGGGCUGCCUUCUACAUGGGAGAAGUCCCAGCGUUGAUUCACAGAAUAAGAAUUGGCUAUUUUCCCUCACCAUUUUGCUGACAGCAGUCUGAGGUAAUAUCAAGACCUCCUCCUAUACAGAGUUGAAGGAACCCUUGAGCAAUCCCAGGCACACAACUGGAUAUACGUGUGCAUGCACUUGUCACUCAGCUGCGAUCAUGACCGCAAGAAAACUUCCUGUGCUGUGACAUCACCCACUUCCUGUUCCUUGGAUUACCCAUUCUGCCUUGCUUUGCAUGUGGUUUUCAUUGACUUGGCAAGCCUUUUAAUCAACAUAAAUGAGAAGUUGUGAAAUUGUGAGAAGUCCCUUCUUUUCUGCCAAGCCAGCCAGUGGACCAGGAACAAUGAGUCUGGUGGAUUUCAGACUGGUCCACAGUGAUGUUUUGGGAAAAUCCAACCCCUUAUCCAAAUCAGUCUUAAAUUUCCCUGAAGCAUACGUGGAAGGUCAACUCUGAGGGGAUGCCUGAGACAUCUCCUGCUGCAAGGAGAAACCUUAACCAAAAUGGUGACAUUCAGCUUUAACUGAUCAGUAGCAAACUGCUAU